CGGUACAUCGGUGACAGGUGGUGCAUGGUUGUCGUCAGCUCGUGUCGUGAGAUGUUGGGUUAAGUCCCGCAACGAGCGCAACCCCUAUUGUUAGUUGCCAUCAUUCAGUUGGGCACUCUAGCGAGACUGCCGGUAAUAAACCGGAGGAGGGUGGGAUGACGUCAAAUCAUCAUGCCCCUUAUGACCUGGGCUACACACGUGCUACAAUGGUUGGUACAACGAGUUGCGAGUCGGUGACGGCGAGCUAAUCUCUUAAAGCCAAUCUCAGUUCGGAUUGUAGGCUGCAACUCGCCUACAUGAAGUCGGAAUCGCUAGUAAUCGCGGAUCAGCACGCCGCGGUGAAUACGUUCCCGGGCCUU
This 359-nucleotide ribosomal RNA is filed under the name uncultured Streptococcus sp. RNAcentral's name for it is "bacterial SSU rRNA". It matches the Rfam family "Bacterial small subunit ribosomal RNA", at positions 1021 to 1382 of the family's 1533-position model. Lineage: Bacteria; Bacillati; Bacillota; Bacilli; Lactobacillales; Streptococcaceae. The record is from RNAcentral.